RNAcentral lists this ribosomal RNA (254 nucleotides) under uncultured bacterium. RNAcentral's name for it is "partial 16S ribosomal RNA". It matches the Rfam family "Bacterial small subunit ribosomal RNA", at positions 524 to 776 of the family's 1533-position model. The record is from RNAcentral.
UACGUAGGGGGCGAGCGUUGUUCGGAUUUACUGGGCGUAAAGCGUGCGUAGGCGGUCUGGCAAGUCCGGCGUGAAAUCCGCACCACUUAACGGGCGGGUGUCGUUGGAUACUACCAGGCUAGAGGACGAGAGAGGAAAUUGGAAUUCCAGGUGUAGCGGUGGAAUGCGCAGAUAUCUGGAAGAACACCAGUGGCGAAGGCGGAUUUCUGGCUCGUUUCUGACGCUGAUGCACGAAAGCCAGGGGAGCGAACGGG